RNAcentral lists this ribosomal RNA (758 nucleotides) under Microbacterium aurantiacum. Its description in RNAcentral is "partial 16S ribosomal RNA". It matches the Rfam family "Bacterial small subunit ribosomal RNA", at positions 54 to 825 of the family's 1533-position model. The record is from RNAcentral. Lineage: Bacteria; Bacillati; Actinomycetota; Actinomycetes; Micrococcales; Microbacteriaceae.
CAUGCAAGUCGAACGGUGAAGCCAAGCUUGCUUGGUGGAUCAGUGGCGAACGGGUGAGUAACACGUGAGCAACCUGCCCUGGACUCUGGGAUAAGCGCUGGAAACGGCGUCUAAUACUGGAUAUGAGCCUCUUCCGCAUGGUGGGGGUUGGAAAGAUUUUUUGGUCUGGGAUGGGCUCGCGGCCUAUCAGCUUGUUGGUGAGGUAAUGGCUCACCAAGGCGUCGACGGGUAGCCGGCCUGAGAGGGUGACCGGCCACACUGGGACUGAGACACGGCCCAGACUCCUACGGGAGGCAGCAGUGGGGAAUAUUGCACAAUGGGCGGAAGCCUGAUGCAGCAACGCCGCGUGAGGGAUGACGGCCUUCGGGUUGUAAACCUCUUUUAGCAGGGAAGAAGCGAAAGUGACGGUACCUGCAGAAAAAGCGCCGGCUAACUACGUGCCAGCAGCCGCGGUAAUACGUAGGGCGCAAGCGUUAUCCGGAAUUAUUGGGCGUAAAGAGCUCGUAGGCGGUUUGUCGCGUCUGCUGUGAAAUCCCGAGGCUCAACCUCGGGCCUGCAGUGGGUACGGGCAGACUAGAGUGCGGUAGGGGAGAUUGGAAUUCCUGGUGUAGCGGUGGAAUGCGCAGAUAUCAGGAGGAACACCGAUGGCGAAGGCAGAUCUCUGGGCCGUAACUGACGCUGAGGAGCGAAAGGGUGGGGAGCAAACAGGCUUAGAUACCCUGGUAGUCCACCCCGUAAACGUUGGGAACUAGUUGUGG